UCGCUGUCAAAAUAGUUGUUAUUAAAAUCAAAUGUAUUGCAAACAAACGAAAUAAGAACCCAAGCGGUACGGUAAAACGAUUCGAGGGUAUUUUGUAAUCAUGGAAAUCGAAGAUCGGAAUGCACUUUUUCAGUUUUUCAUCGAAUGGCCUACUUUCUGUCCAUAUGAAAGGACAUAAUACACAAUUUUCGGAAAUAAGAAAACAAACAAUGAACAAAUGGAGAAAUUUCAAAUUGUGGCGUGCAAUGAGACUAAAUGAACCAGCUCUGAUAUUGGAUUCACACAAUGUCGAACCACGAACUUCGAGAUUUGGCGCGUCAAAUUAAAUAUUCCUUCAGUGAAAAUCGAUUAGAUCGUGAACCUUUUGUACUUAAUUUGUGUAAGAAUAGUUCACAAAGAACUUGACUCAAAUGUAUUCGAAGUUCCUGCAUGCCUGGAAAUAGUGUAUUCAACCAAUCCUUUUCAAUCCGAUCGGAGAAAUAACAAUUGACAAAGUUUAUCUUUUUGACUCUAGUGAAUGGUUUUUUGAGAUGUUCUGGUAAAUCUCGAAUUCCAAUUAAUUCAAUGUCUUCCAAGGAUUCGCCACAAUAUUCGUUUAUGUAUUCAAUUGUACGCUGGAUCCAUAUCAAAUCUGUUCCUUUAUAAAAUUUAAAUUCGAUUUUAGUUACAAAAUUUCCAAAACAGCGCAGAAAUCGUAAACUUAGUCUCCAGUUUUCCAUAAAUAAAGUAUCUUGCAUCUCAGCAGGUACAAAUGCAAAUUUUAUUCCUGAAUUGGAAUAAAUUACCCGUAAACGAUAUUUUCGGUAAUAAAUAGACUUUGCGGCACGAUUUAAUCGUUUAUUAGAAUCAGCCGCAAUCAAAAGAUCGUCAAAUGUUAAAUGCUCCAAACAGCUCUCAAUGCAAUCUAGAUUCAUAUCCGUGAGUUUCAUCUUUUCUAUCAUUUUUCACGGUUUCUAUCAAAUCAAAAAUGUUCAAAUAAUAAAUAAGAAAUUUUUGUUCAAUAAAUCAAAAUAUGGAUACGAACUUACCUGAUCAUUCAAAUCGAUUUAAAUUUUCUUAAGUUAGUUGAUUAUUGAAUUACCUUGUACGUUUACAUUUAGAAC
This is a long non-coding RNA of Contarinia nasturtii (swede midge), 1103 nucleotides long. RefSeq lists it as uncharacterized. The transcript is spliced from 3 exons. The record is from RefSeq and is a predicted model, not a curated record. Lineage: Eukaryota; Metazoa; Arthropoda; Insecta; Diptera; Cecidomyiidae.